RNAcentral lists this ribosomal RNA (472 nucleotides) under uncultured bacterium. RNAcentral's name for it is "bacterial SSU rRNA". It matches the Rfam family "Bacterial small subunit ribosomal RNA", at positions 917 to 1382 of the family's 1533-position model. The record is from RNAcentral.
GGGCUCACACAAGCGGUGGAGCAUGUGGUUCAAUUCGAAGCAACGCGCAGAACCUUACCUGGGCUUGACAUGCUUGGAUUAUCCCCAUGAAAGUGGGGUAGGCCCUUCGGGGUACAACAAGUACAGGUGCUGCAUGGCUGUCGUCAGCUCGUGUCGUGAGAUGUCGGGUUAAGUCCCAUAACGAGCGAAACCUUUGCCCUUAGUUACCAGCGGGUUAAGCCGGGGACUCUAAGGGGACUGCCGGUGUCAAACCGGAGGAAGGUGGAGAUGACGUCAAGUCCUCAUGGCCUUUAUGCCCAGGGCCACACACGUGCUACAAUGGCGUGGACAAAGCGAGCCUAAAGCGCAAGCUGGUGGAAAACGCAAAAAUCACGCCCCAGUUCAGAUCGGAGGCUGCAACUCGCCUCCGUGAAGUUGGAAUCGCUAGUAAUCGCGGAUCAGCCACGCCGCGGUGAAUGUGUUCCUGAGCCUU